CGAAAGCCUGACGGAGCAACGCCGCGUGAGGGAUGAAGGCCUCUGGGCUGUAAACCUCUUUUCUCAAGGAAGAAGACCUGACGGUACUUGAGGAAUAAGCCACGGCUAAUUCCGUGCCAGCAGCCGCGGUAAUACGGGAGUGGCAAGCGUUAUCCGGAAUUAUUGGGCGUAAAGCGUCCGCAGGCGGCCGUACAAGUCUGUCGUUAAAGCGUGGAGCUUAACUCCAUUUAGGCGAUGGAAACUGUAAGGCUUGAGUGUGGUAGGGGCAGAGGGAAUUCCCGGUGUAGCGGUGAAAUGCGUAGAUAUCGGGAAGAACACCAGUGGCGAAGGCGCUCUGCUGGGUCAUAACUGACGCUCAUGGACGAAAGCCAGGGGAGCG
Molecule: ribosomal RNA, 379 nt
Filed under: uncultured cyanobacterium
Lineage: Bacteria; Bacillati; Cyanobacteriota
Description: bacterial SSU rRNA
Rfam family: Bacterial small subunit ribosomal RNA
Source: RNAcentral